RNAcentral lists this ribosomal RNA (437 nucleotides) under Oncochila simplex. RNAcentral's name for it is "partial 16S ribosomal RNA". Lineage: Eukaryota; Metazoa; Arthropoda; Insecta; Hemiptera; Tingidae. The record is from RNAcentral.
UUCUUUAUUGUUAUUUAAUAUAAAGUAUAACCUGCUCAAUGAUUAAAAUUAAAUAGCCGCAGUAUUUACUGUGCUAAGGUAGCAUAAUAAUUUGUCUUUUUAUUGAAGUCUAGAAUGAAUGGUUGAACGAGAAAUUAACUAUUUUAAUUAAAUUUUUAUAAAUUUUAUUUUUUAGUUAAAAAGCUAAAAUUAAUUUAUGUGACGAUAAGACCCUAUAAAAUUUUAUUUACAAAUUUAAUUUUGGCAUAUAUGUUUUAUAGUUAAUAUUAUAUUUGUAAAUUUGGUUGGGGCGAUUAUUUUAUUUAUUAAACUAUAAUUUAUUUAAGUUCAUUAAUUUAUGAUUAAUUGAUCCUAAAAUUUAGAUUAUAAGAUUAAAUUACUUUAGGGAUAACAGCGUAAUUUUCUUGGGGAGUUCUUAUUUAUAGGAAGGAUUGCGA